This 1856-nucleotide long non-coding RNA is filed under the name Sus scrofa (pig). RNAcentral describes it as "lncRNA (ENSSSCG00005012645.1)". The record is from RNAcentral. Lineage: Eukaryota; Metazoa; Chordata; Mammalia; Artiodactyla; Suidae.
GGCAGCCAGUUUGCUGAGAGGUGGGGCGGUAUUAGCUGUCUGGCCUGAGAUGUUGGCACACUGUAGCUUACAGGCUACUGGUGGGGCCAGGUCUUGGGGCUAAUGAUCCAAGCAAGAGGCCCACGCCAAUGAACACUUGCUGAUACACCAGCUUUUAUGAUCCCCGAGGGAGCCACAGCGCACCCCCCGUCCCCCCCAAACCAACAGGAAUUAGCUGUGAUUCUGGCGGUUUCUGAGAGGAGGCGAGCUCAAGGGCCUUCCAGUCGGCCGAGCUGAAAGAUUCCUCGGGACUCUCACCUCAAAGGAUGGGCCGCUUCUUUAUCUACACAGCUCUGGGCCAGAGACCUGUACCUGGCAGUAACAAUGAAUACUUGUGAAACUAAUCAAUAUCUAUUAGUUGACUGAUCAACCUGUUCUUUUCCAUAAUUUGUCCCUUUUCUAUAACAGCACCUAUUUUUCUACUUUAAUUGUUAAAGAUAAAAUACUUCAAUGGGCAAAUAUCACUUAAAGCCAAAGAAAAUAUAACUCUGUGGAUAUUCCCUAAGGAAAAACCAAGGGUAUAUAACAAAAUCACUCAUUAGAAAUCCUUCCUAAUAAAGGACAAUGCUCUAGGACACUUUAUAGCAUACCGCAUCCAUUUUCAGAAAUUUAGGGACACGUCUCAAAUUUCUGAUUCCCUAAGUUCCUUAAGAACCCUUCUUCCAACACCAAUCCUCUAUGCUACCAUCCCAAUGUCCUCCCACCCCCACCACCACAAAAACCCUUUGAGUAAUUUUUUUUUCUUUUUUGGCUGUCCCUUGGCAUGUGCAGUUCCCGGGCCAGGAAACAGAUCCAAGCCACAGUUGCAACCUAAGCCAAAGCUGCAGCAAGGCCAGAUUGUUAACCCACCAUGCCCAGCUAGGGAACGGAGUUAUUUUAAUAGUUACACUUAAGGCAUGAGAAUUAUUUCAGAGCUCACUGCAGUCAAUAUGCUAAUAUUAAAUAAUGUUGAGGCGACAACAAAAAAGUAAAUAACGUUCAAGAAAAGUUUAAUUUUACUCAUAAGUGAAUUUCAAAUUAAAAUACACUAGAAAAGCAGCCUAACUAUAUUUACUCUUCUGUGGAUCUGUAGUUGAAAUGCAGUUUCACAAGAACCUAACUAUACAUAGCAUCUGCAACUAUAUUUAUAUUGUAUCCAUAUAUAAAAACUGAACAGAAAAAUAUCCUUUCUGAAGAGAAGAGCUAGUUGAUAUGUUCAAGAAUCAAAAGUGGAACCACCCUUUAGAGGGAAUAAUAUUGAAACUGACAGGACCCUGUGGGGCUCCUGGGCACAAGCCCUCUGCGUUCCCUAUUUCUUACUCUUAGGGAAUAAGCUUCAGCCUCCACCACCUUCCCUGCACUCCAAAGAGUAGGUUCAAACAGUUGCUCAUCAGAGAAGGGAGGGGAUGCAGAGGCAACAGUGCAGCCUUGGGGCGGGAUCCUGGUUCCUCCUCAAGGAAUAUACAUAAAAGUAUCUUUGAGUUCUUCUGCAGAACUAAAACCUGCCACAAAUGAAAACAAGAGAGGAGGACCACCGAACCAGGCCUGGGGCCACUAAACACCAACUUUGAAGAAGAAUGAAAGCUUGUACCUAUUCUGAUCCUUAUCUGUGGCCCUGUUUUCUACUCCCAAACUAUAAAGCAACUUCCUAAUCUCUCCCAAGGGAGGGCACAGUCUUUAGGGCAUUAGCCUGCUAUGGCCUCCUUUGCCUAGCAAGCAGUAAUGCUAUUUUUUUUCCUCCCGCACCCAAAACUGUCUCUGAGAUUCUAUUCGGCACUGAUGGACAAACACCUAGUUUCAACAAUUCCAGGCUCCAAUAAAAUAUAAGCAUUCAAAAC